UGGGGAAUAUUGCACAAUGGAGGGAACUCUGAUGCAGCGACGCCGCGUGAGUGAUGAAGGAAUUCGUUUCGUAAAACUCUGUUCUAUGGGAAGAAAAGGACUGUACCAUAGGAGAAAGCUCCGGCUAAAUACGUGCCAGCAGCCGCGGUAAUACGUAUGGAGCGAGCGUUGUCCGGAAUUAUUGGGCGUAAAGGGUGCGCAGGCGGCUUUACAAGUUGGAUGUGAAAUAUUGUGGCUCAACCACAAACGUGCAUCCAAAACUGCAAAGCUUGAGUUAAGGAGAGGUAAGUGGAAUUCCUGGUGUAGCGGUGGAAUGCGUAGAUAUCAGGAGGAAUACCGGUGGCGAAGGCGACUUACUGGACUUAAACUGACGCUCGGGCACGAAAGCGUGGGGAGCAAACAGG
This 404-nucleotide ribosomal RNA is filed under the name Fusobacteriota bacterium. Its description in RNAcentral is "Fusobacteria bacterium partial 16S ribosomal RNA". It matches the Rfam family "Bacterial small subunit ribosomal RNA", at positions 355 to 776 of the family's 1533-position model. Lineage: Bacteria; Fusobacteriati; Fusobacteriota. The record is from RNAcentral.